RNAcentral lists this long non-coding RNA (1264 nucleotides) under Coccomyxa subellipsoidea. RNAcentral's name for it is "long non-coding RNA (CSUB_LNC000587)". Lineage: Eukaryota; Viridiplantae; Chlorophyta; Trebouxiophyceae; Coccomyxaceae. The record is from RNAcentral.
GGUCACUAAAUGACAUGAAGUCUGUGUAAGUAAAAUGGUGUGCAUGAAGUGAAUCCUUGUUACAUCAAUGAUAUCUGCAGAUAUCUGUAGGGCUCCAAAUCGCCUGUGGCCUUUUCAUGAAACAAUGCCGAAGGAACGGAGCCAUUGCAUUUCUGCUGCUGUGUUGUGUUUUGCUCAAUAGGCUUGCGUGUUGUACACAAUGUACAGAUCUUUUCAUGGACAUGUUUAUUCUAGGACUAGGACUCUCAUCGAUUGAUGGGCAUCUCAAAUAGCAGAGGUGUCCUGGGCUCCCGUGGCGGACCCAUCACAGCGGCGUUGCAGCUAUCGGGUGUGACAUUCUCGAAGCUUCAGAAGAAUCCCACUACGGUAAACCCGGUAACAAUCUGUGACAGAUUGUUACAAGAAACCACCCGCCAUUGCAUGACCGUCAGGUUGAAAUGAUUCUGCCAUGCGGCUCUCCUCCAGUACUUUGGACAGCACCGCUCGAGCUUGCCUGCAGAAUAAGACUCCACUUGAUGACUGGCCUUCACUAUCUGCACUUACCAGCAAGCAAAGAUUCUUGCGAUCGAGGUGACAAAUUUAAGCACCUAAGGCGUUGCUGUCGACGCUGGAGGGAUAAUUGUGUGCCCGAACUUGGAUCCUUCUUGUCGAAUAUAGACCCUUGGAGCGUAACAACCUCUCGCCUCAAAUCCUGGGCGACACUCAAAAAUUGACUUGAGCAACACGAUAUACAAAUCUCCAGGAGGGUGCUAAAGAAUGGGGCAAGCUAUCAAAUCAACAAUGCACAGAAGUGGUAUGUCGGGGUCAUCUGAGCAUGCAGUACCUCCACAGGGAGUUCAUGAAGUCCCGCGUGCCAAAUUGCAUCCUCAUCAUCCACAUCUGGGCUUGCUGCACGUUUCCUCUUCCUUUUCACAUUAUCAUCGUCCCAAGCUUCCCACCAGUGAACGUCCUCAUCAUGAUCCCCACUCCCACUAGUACCUGGCGAGCACGAGCCCGUCAACAUGCGAGAUACUCACUUAUGAAAACUCUUUGAUUUGCAUGGAAAUAUCAGAUACCAUCACAACAUCAGACAAGGUAUUUCUCUGAGCCUGAUGGCAGGCUGAGUAGAGACUAUACCUCUCGAUGAAGACAACUCCGCUGCUGCUAAGCAGAUCGCCUUGAAAGCGGCCUCAGCGCCUGGUAGAGAACAUUUGUCAGGGUGGACCUGCUUAGCCAGCCUGCGGAAUUGCUGCUGAACAUGCUUUUUGUCUGUAUGUCCAUCCAC